UUGACCUCAAAUCAGGUAGGACUACCCGCUGAACUUAAGCAUAUCAAUAAGCGGAGGAAAAGAAACUAACAAGGAUUCCCCUAGUAACUGCGAGUGAAGCGGGAAAAGCUCAAAUUUAAAAUCUGGUAGUCUUUGGCUGCCCGAGUUGUAAUCUAGAGAAGUGUUAUCCGUGCUGGACCGUGUACAAGUCUCCUGGAAUGGAGCGUCAUAGAGGGUGAGAAUCCCGUCUUUGACACGGACUACCAGUGCAUUGUGAUGCGCUCUCAAAGAGUCGAGUUGUUUGGGAAUGCAGCUCUAAAUGGGUGGUAAAUUCCAUCUAAAGCUAAAUAUUGGCGAGAGACCGAUAGCGAACAAGUACCGUGAGGGAAAGAUGAAAAGAACUUUGGAAAGAGAGUUAAACAGUACGUGAAAUUGUUGAAAGGGAAACGCUUGAAGUCAGUCGCGUUGGCCAGGGAUCAACCUUGCUUUUGCUUGGCGUACUUCCUGGUUAACGGGUCAGCAUCAAUUUUGACCAGUGGAUAAAGGUCAAGGGAAUGUGGCAUCUUCGGAUGUGUUAUAGCCCUUGGUUGCAUACACUGAUUGGGAUUGAGGAACUCAGCACGCCGCAAG
RNAcentral lists this ribosomal RNA (609 nucleotides) under Entoloma nitidum. RNAcentral's name for it is "eukaryotic LSU rRNA". It matches the Rfam family "Eukaryotic large subunit ribosomal RNA", at positions 1 to 609 of the family's 3401-position model. The record is from RNAcentral. Lineage: Eukaryota; Fungi; Basidiomycota; Agaricomycetes; Agaricales; Entolomataceae.